Molecule: ribosomal RNA, 1018 nt
Filed under: uncultured bacterium
Lineage: Bacteria
Description: bacterial SSU rRNA
Rfam family: Bacterial small subunit ribosomal RNA
Source: RNAcentral
AGGAAUAUUGGUCAAUGGACGAGAGUCUGAACCAGCCAAGUAGCGUGAAGGAUGAAGGUUCUAUGGAUUGUAAACUUCUUUUAUACGGGAAUAAACGGAUCCACGUGUGGAUUUUUGCAUGUACCGUAUGAAUAAGGAUCGGCUAACUCCGUGCCAGCAGCCGCGGUAAUACGGAGGAUCCGAGCGUUAUCCGGAUUUAUUGGGUUUAAAGGGAGCGUAGAUGGGUUGUUAAGUCAGUUGUGAAAGUUUGCGGCUCAACCGUAAAAUUGCAAUUGAUACUGGCAGUCUUGAGUACAGUUGAGGUAGGCGGAAUUCGUGGUGUAGCGGUGAAAUGCUUAGAUAUCACGAAGAACUCCGAUUGCGAAGGCAGCUUACUAACCUGUAACUGACAUUGAUGCUCGAAAGUGUGGGUAUCAAACAGGAUUAGAUACCCUGGUAGUCCACACGGUAAACGAUGAAUACUCGCUGUAGGCGAUAUACUGUCUGCGGCCAAGCGAAAGCAUUAAGUAUUCCACCUGGGGAGUACGCCGGCAACGGUGAAACUCAAAGGAAUUGACGGGGGCCCGCACAAGCGGAGGAACAUGUGGUUUAAUUCGAUGAUACGCGAGGAACCUUACCCGGGCUUAAAUUGCAACCGAAUAUGGCGGAAACGCUAUAGCUAGCAAUAGCGGUUGUGAAGGUGCUGCAUGGUUGUCGUCAGCUCGUGCCGUGAGGUGUCGGCUUAAGUGCCAUAACGAGCGCAACCCUUGCCGAUAGUUACUAACAGGUCAUGCUGAGGACUCUGUCGGGACUGCCAUCGUAAGAUGUGAGGAAGGUGGGGAUGACGUCAAAUCAGCACGGCCCUUACGUCCGGGGCUACACACGUGUUACAAUGGGGGGUACAGAGGGCUGCUACCACGCAAGUGGAUGCCAAUCCCAAAAACCUCUCUCAGUUCGGAUUGAAGUCUGCAACCCGACUUCAUGAAGCUGGAUUCGCUAGUAAUCGCGCAUCAGCCACGGCGCGGUGAAUACGUUCCCG